RNAcentral lists this long non-coding RNA (635 nucleotides) under Marmota monax (woodchuck). Lineage: Eukaryota; Metazoa; Chordata; Mammalia; Rodentia; Sciuridae. The record is from RNAcentral.
UGUAGGUGCAUUAAGUCUGUUGGGGAAAGUCUACUUGAGUCUACUCAAUAAUCUACCUCUUUCAACACAUUGAAUAGCAUCCCAUUAGUCUGACCAAGUUAAUGCAGCUUCAAAAGGGAAAUAGUUCAGUUCUUUUCCAUAAAGAACUGAAAUAGUUCAGUUCUUUUCCAUCAUAAGUAUGAUGAGAACCAUAAUGCAUUUUUUCCAGCUGUUUUUCUAUAUUUUGCUAUUCAUUGGCUAAGAUUGCUAGAUAAGGAUUACAUUAUUAUAGGAAAAGGAUGGCCAUCCAUUUGGUAAAAAAUGAUGCCACUAACUUAAUAUUAGCAUGAGAACUUCAGGAAAUUUUCUCAAAAGUUGUAAUGGGUUUGUAAUAUUCUAUUCCUGCUUUUCCUCUAAUGGCUAAGGAUGGACAAAGGAACAUUUUUGCAUGACAGCUGAAAGGCAUCAGGGCAUUUAGCCAGGAUCUGAGUGAACUAAUGGGUCCAUGAUAGCUACCGAUCUUCAGUCUUGACCUCUGAGGCCUUAUCACAUUAAACCAGUGAGCCUGUAACAAAAAUUCAGAAAUGAAAGUGUGGCAUUUCAUUAGAUGCAGCCAAGGGUAAAAACUGUAUUUACAUUUGAUGUAAUAAAGAAAG